This 1317-nucleotide ribosomal RNA is filed under the name Escherichia coli. RNAcentral's name for it is "partial 23S ribosomal RNA". It matches the Rfam family "Bacterial large subunit ribosomal RNA", at positions 1607 to 2900 of the family's 2925-position model. Lineage: Bacteria; Pseudomonadati; Pseudomonadota; Gammaproteobacteria; Enterobacterales; Enterobacteriaceae. The record is from RNAcentral.
UCCAGGAAAAGCCUCUAAGCAUCAGGUAACAUCAAAUCGUACCCCAAACCGACACAGGUGGUCAGGUAGAGAAUACCAAGGCGCUUGAGAGAACUCGGGUGAAGGAACUAGGCAAAAUGGUGCCGUAACUUCGGGAGAAGGCACGCUGAUAUGUAGGUGAAGUCCCUCGCGGAUGGAGCUGAAAUCAGUCGAAGAUACCAGCUGGCUGCAACUGUUUAUUAAAAACACAGCACUGUGCAAACACGAAAGUGGACGUAUACGGUGUGACGCCUGCCCGGUGCCGGAAGGUUAAUUGAUGGGGUCAGCGCAAGCGAAGCUCUUGAUCGAAGCCCCGGUAAACGGCGGCCGUAACUAUAACGGUCCUAAGGUAGCGAAAUUCCUUGUCGGGUAAGUUCCGACCUGCACGAAUGGCGUAAUGAUGGCCAGGCUGUCUCCACCCGAGACUCAGUGAAAUUGAACUCGCUGUGAAGAUGCAGUGUACCCGCGGCAAGACGGAAAGACCCCGUGAACCUUUACUAUAGCUUGACACUGAACAUUGAGCCUUGAUGUGUAGGAUAGGUGGGAGGCUUGGAAGUGUGGACGCCAGUCUGCAUGGAGCCGACCUUGAAAUACCACCCUUUAAUGUUUGAUGUUCUAACGUUGACCCGUAAUCCGGGUUGCGGACAGUGUCUGGUGGGUAGUUUGACUGGGGCGGUCUCCUCCUAAAGAGUAACGGAGGAGCACGAAGGUUGGCUAAUCCUGGUCGGACAUCAGGAGGUUAGUGCAAUGGCAUAAGCCAGCUUGACUGCGAGCGUGACGGCGCGAGCAGGUGCGAAAGCAGGUCAUAGUGAUCCGGUGGUUCUGAAUGGAAGGGCCAUCGCUCAACGGAUAAAAGGUACUCCGGGGAUAACAGGCUGAUACCGCCCAAGAGUUCAUAUCGACGGCGGUGUUUGGCACCUCGAUGUCGGCUCAUCACAUCCUGGGGCUGAAGUAGGUCCCAAGGGUAUGGCUGUUCGCCAUUUAAAGUGGUACGCGAGCUGGGUUUAGAACGUCGUGAGACAGUUCGGUCCCUAUCUGCCGUGGGCGCUGGAGAACUGAGGGGGGCUGCUCCUAGUACGAGAGGACCGGAGUGGACGCAUCACUGGUGUUCGGGUUGUCAUGCCAAUGGCACUGCCCGGUAGCUAAAUGCGGAAGAGAUAAGUGCUGAAAGCAUCUAAGCACGAAACUUGCCCCGAGAUGAGUUCUCCCUGACUCCUUGAGAGUCCUGAAGGAACGUUGAAGACGACGACGUUGAUAGGCCGGGUGUGUAAGCGCAGCGAUGCGUUGAGCUAACCGGUA